GAGAGGUUGGCGCGGGCGAGCGCCUCGCCAACCCGGUCAGGUCCGGAAGGAAGCAGCCGUAACGAGCCCCACUUGG
RNAcentral lists this signal recognition particle RNA (76 nucleotides) under Paracoccaceae bacterium. RNAcentral's name for it is "Rhodobacteraceae bacterium (oil production facility metagenome) partial signal recognition particle sRNA small type". It matches the Rfam family "Bacterial small signal recognition particle RNA", at positions 1 to 76 of the family's 97-position model. Rfam says of the family: The signal recognition particle (SRP) is a universally conserved ribonucleoprotein involved in the co-translational targeting of proteins to membranes. Archaeal SRP consists of a 7S RNA and homologues of the eukaryotic SRP19 and SRP54 proteins. The record is from RNAcentral. Lineage: Bacteria; Pseudomonadati; Pseudomonadota; Alphaproteobacteria; Rhodobacterales; Paracoccaceae.